GCUAUACACAGGAGUAGGAUCUGACCAGACAUGGACCCAGCAGACAGUUGGGACUGGCCACAUGUGGACUCAGACGGCAAUCCCUUUAUCACGUCAUCAG
This is a long non-coding RNA of Melanotaenia boesemani (Boeseman's rainbowfish), 100 nucleotides long. RefSeq lists it as uncharacterized. The transcript is spliced from 3 exons. The record is from RefSeq and is a predicted model, not a curated record. NCBI's taxonomy places the organism in Eukaryota, Metazoa, Chordata, Actinopteri, Atheriniformes, Melanotaeniidae.